Long non-coding RNA from Juglans microcarpa x Juglans regia, 337 nucleotides. RefSeq lists it as uncharacterized. The record is from RefSeq and is a predicted model, not a curated record. The transcript is spliced from 4 exons. Lineage: Eukaryota; Viridiplantae; Streptophyta; Magnoliopsida; Fagales; Juglandaceae.
CUAUGUUCCCACAUCUUUCUCUCGGUGUCUUCCACCUUCAAAGCUCGCUGUCCAGCCAUCGCCCCUCCUUUGCUCUGGUUCUCGUGUCGUCGUUGCACAUCUUCAACUCAGCACCCCGCGUCGCCGUCGGCACUCUCUCUGUGCCUAACAUAGCAUCAUUUUUUCCAUGGCCUGAAAACUAAUAAGGUUUAAGAUACGAGGUUAUCAGUUAAGGUCUGAGAAAAAAUAAUUUUUAGGGGCAAAUUUCUAUUUGUCCGGGGUUUUUAUGAUGGAAGGGCAGUUUGUGGGCACCGAGAUUCAUGGCUUCCAUACAUUGCAAGUUUUGGAUGUUCAAAAG